GAUGAACGCUAGCGGGAGGCUUAACACAUGCAAGUCGAGGGGUAACAUUGGUGCUUGCACCAGAUGACGACCGGCGCACGGGUGAGUAACGCGUAUGCAACCUACCUUAUACAGGGGCAUAGCCUAUGGAAACGUGGAUUAAUUCCCCAUAGUACUAUACUAUAUCGCCUGAUAUAAAUAGUUAAAACUUCGGUGGUAUAAGAUGGGCAUGCGUAUGAUUAGCUAGAUGGUAAGGUAACGGCUUACCAUGGCGAUGAUCAUUAGGGGUUCUGAGAGGAUUAUCCCCCACACUGGUACUGAGACACGGACCAGACUCCUACGGGGGGCAGCAGUGAGGAAUAUUGGUCAAUGGACGCGAGUCUGAACCAGCCAUCCCGCGUGCGGGAUGACGGCCUUAUGGGUUGUAAACUGCUUUUCUACAGGAAGAAAUGUACUUACGUGUAAGUAUUUGCCGGUACUGUAGGAAUAAGCAUCGGCUAACUCCGUGCCAGCAGCCGCGGUAAUACGGAGGAUGCGAGCGUUAUCCGGAAUCAUUGGGUUUAAAGGGUACGUAGGUUGGACUUUAAGUCAGUGGUGAAAGUCUGUCGCUUAACGAUAGAAUUGCCAUUGAUACUGGAGAUCUUGAGUGUGGUUGAGGUAGGCGGAAUGUGCAGUGUAGCGGUGAAAUGCAUAGAUAUUGCACAGAACACCAAUUGCGAAGGCAGCUUACUAAACCAUUACUGACGCUGAUGUACGAAAGCGUGGGGAGCGAACAGGAUUAGAUACCCUGGUAGUCCACGCUGUAAACGAUGUUCACUCGCUGUUUGCGAUAUACAGUAAGCGGCUAAGCGAAAGCAUUAAGUGAACCACCUGGGGAGUACGAUCGCAAGGUUGAAACUCAAAGGAAUUGACGGGGGCCCGCACAAGCGGAGGAACAUGCGGUUUAAUUCGAUGAUACGCGAGGAACCUUACCUGGGCUUAAAUGUAGGUUGCAUUAUUUGGAGACAGAUAUUUCUACGGACUACCUACAAGGUGCUGCAUGGUUGUCGUCAGCUCGUGCCGUGAGGUGUCGGGUUAAGUCCCAUAACGAGCGCAACCCUUACCGUUAGUUACCAGCGAUUUUAGUCGGGGACUCUAGCGGGACUGCCACCGUAAGGUGAGAGGAAGGUGGGGAUGACGUCAAAUCAGCACGGCCCUUAUGUCCAGGGCUACACACGUGUUACAAUGGUCGGUACAAAGGGAUGCUACACAGCGAUGUGAUGCUAAUCUCGAAAGCCGGUCUCAGUUCGGAUUGGAGUCUGCAACCCGACUCCAUGGAGUUGGAUUCGCUAGUAAUCGCGCAUCAGCCAUGGCGCGGUGAAUACGUUCCCGGGCCU
Molecule: ribosomal RNA, 1355 nt
Filed under: uncultured bacterium
Lineage: Bacteria
Description: bacterial SSU rRNA
Rfam family: Bacterial small subunit ribosomal RNA
Source: RNAcentral